AUAUGUAUACAGGGGAGCUUGAAAACAGGCUGAGAGGAAGGUGUUGCCUUUGACCCUUGAACCUGAUUUGGAUAAUGCCAACGUAGGAAAGACAAGAUACUUAUGG
Molecule: non-coding RNA, 106 nt
Organism: Firmicutes bacterium CAG:466
Lineage: Bacteria; Bacillati; Bacillota
Source: Rfam